CCCAGCCAAGACUGUGGUGGUGGUUCAGUCCAGACUCUGUUAGCUGAAAAGCAGUGAGGAGCAAAAGUGUCUUGUGCUGCACGGGAAAAUAGAAUGGGGCGUAAUCCAACCCUGAUCGUUUUCCUGGGCUUUACCAUCUAUCUGAUGGGUUUGUUCCCAGUCACUUACUGCUCAGUCUUCUCCAAUGCCUUUGCACCAGUGGAAAGCCAGACCAUGAUUCUCACUGCAAAGAGUGGACAGCAAGAGGGAAACAGUCCAUCAGCAGUCACAGGUUGGGAGGAAAUGGAGGAGACUUUUGUGGCUUCAUCAACAGGGGAAGGAAUGGAGGUGAUCGAUAUGGUGCAGUCUGAGGACUCAGAGACACUGAGCAAUUCAGCAGAUCUGCUGUUGGAUCUGGCUCUUUCCCUGAAGAUUGGCAGCAUUGUGCUCUUUUUUUUAUGCAUGACAUAGAGCAUGAAAUCAUUUCUGUGAUCGUGGAUGAUAACAAUUUGAGCGUCUAGCUGUGUUUCGUGGUCACUUUCUGGACAAUACGGCUCCUCUUCAUCAACCACAUGCCAGGGAACACAGAAGACAAAGGCAGAGACCUUGUGCGUGUAUUGAAAGUUGUUUUCUUUCUCCUUGAGAAACACAAUAAAUUCUCA
This is a long non-coding RNA of Empidonax traillii (willow flycatcher), 641 nucleotides long. RefSeq lists it as uncharacterized. NCBI's taxonomy places the organism in Eukaryota, Metazoa, Chordata, Aves, Passeriformes, Tyrannidae. The transcript is spliced from 2 exons. The record is from RefSeq and is a predicted model, not a curated record.